RNAcentral lists this ribosomal RNA (492 nucleotides) under uncultured bacterium. RNAcentral describes it as "partial 16S ribosomal RNA". It matches the Rfam family "Bacterial small subunit ribosomal RNA", at positions 29 to 507 of the family's 1533-position model. The record is from RNAcentral.
AGUGAACGCUGGCGGUAGGCCUAACACAUGCAAGUCGAACGGCAGCACAGUAAGAGCUUGCUCUUACGGGUGGCGAGUGGCGGACGGGUGAGGAAUACAUCGGAAUCUACUUUUUCGUGGGGGAUAACGUAGGGAAACUUACGCUAAUACGGCAUACGACCUACGGGUGAAAGAAGGGGAUCUUCGGACCUUGCGCGAUUGAUUGAGCCGAUGUCGGAUUAGCUAGUUGGCGGGGUAAAGGCCCACCAAGGCGACGAUCCGUAGCUGGUCUGAGAGGAUGAUCAGCCACACUGGAACUGAGACACGGUCCAGACUCCUACGGGAGGCAGCAGUGGGGAAUAUUGGACAAUGGGCGCAAGCCUGAUCCAGCCAUACCGCGUGGGUGAAGAAGGCCUUCGGGUUGUAAAGCCCUUUUGUUGGGAAAGAAAAGCAGCAGGUUAAUACCCCGCUGUUCUGACGGUACCCAAAGAAUAAGCACCGGCUAACUUCGUG